Molecule: ribosomal RNA, 420 nt
Filed under: Cleotomiris schneirlai
Lineage: Eukaryota; Metazoa; Arthropoda; Insecta; Hemiptera; Miridae
Description: partial large subunit ribosomal RNA
Rfam family: Bacterial large subunit ribosomal RNA (bases 77-420)
Source: RNAcentral
GUGUCUUAAUUGGAUUCUGGAAUGAAUGGUUGGAUGAGAAAUCUACUUUCUUUGGUUUAUUUUCAAAAACUUGAUUUCUAAGUGAAAAAGCUUAGAUUAGGUUAGAGGACGAGAAGACCCUAUAGAACUUUAUUGAUCUUCUGAGAUAGAAAUAUUGGAAAUAUUGCUUUAUUUCGGUUGGGUGAAUUUUGUUGGGGUGACAGAAAAAAUUUUAUAACUUUUUAAGCUUAUAUCAUUUAUGUAUGAUAUUUUGAUCUUGUUUUAUGACAAAAAGACUAAGUUACCUUAGGGAUAACAGCGUUAUUGUUUCGGAGAGUUCAUAUUGAUGAGACAGUUUGCGACCUCGAUGUUGAAUUAAAAAUAGUCCCCAGGAGUAUAGCAUUGGUGACUAGGUCCUGCUUCGACCUUUAGAUUUUUACA